AUUGCUUCUCGGCCUUUUGGCUAAGAUCAAGUGUAAUAAGGUGUCCACUUUAUUUUUAUUUUUUUGGAGAUACAGUCUCACUAUAUUACCCUUGGUAGAGUGCUGUGACAUCACAGCUCACAGCAACCUUCAAUUCUU
This 138-nucleotide small nuclear RNA is filed under the name Otolemur garnettii (small-eared galago). Its description in RNAcentral is "U2 spliceosomal RNA". It matches the Rfam family "U2 spliceosomal RNA". Rfam says of the family: U2 is a small nuclear RNA (snRNA) component of the spliceosome (involved in pre-mRNA splicing). Lineage: Eukaryota; Metazoa; Chordata; Mammalia; Primates; Galagidae. The record is from Rfam by way of RNAcentral.